GAGCAUCCGUCGGGGGGCCCAUUGGGCUGAGAGGUGCUUGCACUGACCCGUCGAACCUGAUCCGGGCAAUGCCGGCGUAGGGAACGGGUACAUAUGGCCA
This 100-nucleotide non-coding RNA is filed under the name Thalassobacter sp. 16PALIMAR09. RNAcentral's name for it is "TPP riboswitch aptamer (THI element)". It matches the Rfam family "TPP riboswitch aptamer (THI element)". Rfam says of the family: Vitamin B(1) in its active form thiamin pyrophosphate (TPP) is an essential coenzyme that is synthesised by coupling of pyrimidine and thiazole moieties in bacteria. RNAcentral also lists the same sequence under 1 other name. The record is from Rfam by way of RNAcentral. Lineage: Bacteria; Pseudomonadati; Pseudomonadota; Alphaproteobacteria; Rhodobacterales; Roseobacteraceae.